Molecule: ribosomal RNA, 274 nt
Filed under: uncultured bacterium
Lineage: Bacteria
Description: partial 16S ribosomal RNA
Rfam family: Bacterial small subunit ribosomal RNA
Source: RNAcentral
AUACGGAGGGGGCUAGCGUUGUUCGGAAUUACUGGGCGUAAAGCGCGCGUAGGCGGCUUGCCAAGUUGGGCGUGAAAGCCCGGGGCUCAACCCCGGAAUUGCGCUCGAAACUGGCAGGCUAGAGACCGGGAGAGGAGAGUGGAAUUCCCAGUGUAGAGGUGAAAUUCGUAGAUAUUGGGAAGAACACCAGUGGCGAAGGCGGCUCUCUGGACCGGACCUGACGCUGAGGCGCGAAAGCGAGGGGAGCAAACAGGAUUAGAAACCCCGGUAGUCC